GCUGGGCGUGGUGGUGCAUGCCUGUAGUCCCAGCUACUUGGGAGGCUGAGGCAGGAGAAUUGCUUGAGCCUAGGAGGUGGAGGUUGCAGUGAGCCGAGAUCACGCCACUGCACUCCAGCCUGGGCGACAGAGCCAAGACCCUGUCUCAA
Pongo abelii (Sumatran orangutan) is the source of this 149-nucleotide unclassified non-coding RNA. It matches the Rfam family "Metazoan signal recognition particle RNA". From Rfam's summary of the family: The signal recognition particle (SRP) is a universally conserved ribonucleoprotein. It is involved in the co-translational targeting of proteins to membranes. NCBI's taxonomy places the organism in Eukaryota, Metazoa, Chordata, Mammalia, Primates, Hominidae. The record is from Ensembl.